Molecule: ribosomal RNA, 497 nt
Filed under: uncultured bacterium
Lineage: Bacteria
Description: partial 16S ribosomal RNA
Rfam family: Bacterial small subunit ribosomal RNA
Source: RNAcentral
GAUGAACGCUGGCGGCGUGCCUAAUACAUGCAAGUCGAGCGAACAGACGAGGAGCUUGCUCCUCUGACGUUAGCGGCGGACGGGUGAGUAACACGUGGAUAACCUACCUAUAAGACUGGGAUAACUUUGGGAAACCGGAGCUAAUACCGGAUAAUAUAUUGAACCGCAUGGUUCAAUAGUGAAAGACGGUUUUGCUGUCACUUAUAGAUGGAUCCGCGCCGCAUUAGCUAGUUGGUAAGGUAACGGCUUACCAAGGCGACGAUGCGUGGCCGACCUGAGAGGGUGAUCGGCCACACUGGAACUGAGACACGGUCCAGACUCCUACGGGAGGCAGCAGUAGGGAAUCUUCCGCAAUGGGCGAAAGCCUGACGGAGCAACGCCGCGUGAGUGAUGAAGGUCUUCGGAUCGUAAAACUCUGUUAUUAGGGAAGAACAAAUGUGUGAGUAACUAUGCACGUCUUGACGGUACCUAAUCAGAAAGCCACGGCUAACUACGUG